UACGUAGGUGGCGAGCGUUGUUCGGAUUUAUUGGGCGUAAAGGGUCCGCAGGGGGUUGAUUAAGUCUGACGUGAAAUCCCUGAGCUUAACUCAGGAACUGCGUUGGAGACUGGUUGACUAGAGUGUUGGAGAGGUGAUUGGAAUUCCAGGUGUAGCGGUGGAAUGCGUAGAUAUCUGGAAGAACAUCGAAAGCGAAGGCAGAUCACUGGACAAUGACUGACCCUCAGGGACGAAAGCAUGGGGAGCAAACAGG
Molecule: ribosomal RNA, 253 nt
Filed under: Victivallis vadensis ATCC BAA-548
Lineage: Bacteria; Pseudomonadati; Lentisphaerota; Lentisphaeria; Victivallales; Victivallaceae
Description: partial 16S ribosomal RNA
Rfam family: Bacterial small subunit ribosomal RNA
Source: RNAcentral